RNAcentral lists this unclassified non-coding RNA (366 nucleotides) under uncultured fungus. RNAcentral's name for it is "sequence contains ITS1". The stretch from base 1 to 105 matches the Rfam family "5.8S ribosomal RNA", at positions 50 to 154 of the family's 154-position model. Lineage: Eukaryota; Fungi. The record is from RNAcentral.
GAAAUGCGAUACGUAGUGUGAAUUGCAGAAUUCCGUGAACCAUCGAAUCUUUGAACGCAAAUUGCGCUUGAGGCCUCGGCCAAGAGCAUGUCUGGCUCAGCGUCGGCUUACUACCCUCAAUCAACUCCCUUGUGGAAUUGAUUGGAGCUGGCUUUCCGGUUUUCCGAUUAGGUUGCCGGUCAGCUGAAAAACAUUCGCGCUGUGGGAGCUGCUUUCCCUUCAAAAAGGAAAGCCGAGUUCCGAUUUGGUAGGUGACCUUUGCCGGUUACAUGCCUUCGUUGCUCGCAAAUGGCUUCCAUGAAAGCGUGUGCAGGACGCCUUUUGGCUUUCGACCUGAGCUCAGGCAAGAACACCCGCUGAACUUAA